GCUUUCCCGAGCUCUGCAGUCCUGAUGGAGCAUGGGUGUGCACACAGCAUCCUCUCAGGGGGCUCGAGAGAGGAGCACAGCUCUGCCCUAGGAUGCACAGGGCCCAGCUCUGUCCACAGUUCCCUGUGUCGUCUUUCGAGAACUGCGGGGCUUCCUGUCAGCUUCCUCAUGUCUAAAUUGUAAUCCUGCAGCACAAGAUGCCGCAGCUGUCCUCUGGAAUUGGGAAGAACCAAAAAUGUCAUCCAGGCAAUGCGUGCAGCUCAUUCCCAGAAGGAAGAGGCUUUGUGCCUCGGACUGUCGUGCCAAGCCUGAGCGUCUCGCUGCCUGUAGGGUCGGAACGCUGUCCACAAAGGGCCACCAGGUAGCCAUUAUCAUUACCGGCCACCAUCAUCAUUGGGACAUCGUCAGCAACUCCAGAAGGGAGUCAUGACACCUGCAUGAAUACCACAGGGGCCCUUAGUUCUCCUCCCCAACGGGGGCCGGUUUCAAGGAUCAGGCCUAGAAGCAGAGCGAGGAGGUGGAGGGGAAGGCCUUGCUUCACCCAGGAAGCCAGGAGACGGUGGGGCAGGGGAGGGGCGGCCAGCAGGUGCGGUCUUCCCCAAAGGCCAGCGCUGGCAAGAGACAGUCCACCGCAGAGGCAACAAGAAACCAAUGAAGGUGACGAGCUGAACCCACAUCCACUCGUCCUUUGCUUACAUAGCAGGAGGGUCUGACGUGCGGAAGGGGGUCCGAAGGGAAAGACGGUGGACUUCUUGGGACCCCUGGGGACCCCUGCUGGUUUCAUCCGGUGGAGAAAAGGUGCAGACACCUUGUCUUGUAUUCUCCAUGUCAUGGUCGCAUCCAAUCCCUUUCCACAUCCCUGGGAAAGUCUGGAGAGCUCGUGAAGCUCCCCCGACAACACCGCAUUCCGGGAGGCCCCCACUCCGCAAGCACGGCCGCGAGAGAGAAUGCCCCCUAGAGCUGCCAGCCUCCCCGCCACACCCUAGUUCUUCUGACCACCUCCAGGAAGCGACCGUCGGGAAGUGUGGACCAGUGGAGAGAAGCCCCACUGAGGGUUCAAACACACCCAAGUCCACGACCCCAGGAGCCCCCCACUGCUGUCUCGGGCCUGGCCGGCCCUCCUCUCCUCCACUCUGCAGCCCCAGACGGGAGGUGUGCUUUGGGACAACAAGCGGCAGAUGACAGAAGCUUUUCAAAGGGAGGAAACCCCUCUCUUCGGAGCAGGCUUCUUUCCUGCUAUGCCAGUCCCCUCCCCGUCAGGGCUCGCGUGAGGUUAUUUGCGGUUGUGCCACAGGCCUGGAGGGAUCUCUUCCUGUGACUUUGUUUGUCUGUGCGGCUGGUGCCCGUACUGAGCAGUGGGGCCGCAGGAGCGCUUCCCGGAGCCCCUGGCUGGGCCGCGCUCUCGCUGGAGGUGAGACGUCACUCAAAUGCACACACAUGCCCCUGUGCGGCCGCGGAGAAGUUCCCAGAAUAAUUACUUAUACCCAG
This is a long non-coding RNA of Neofelis nebulosa (Clouded leopard), 1488 nucleotides long. RefSeq lists it as uncharacterized. NCBI's taxonomy places the organism in Eukaryota, Metazoa, Chordata, Mammalia, Carnivora, Felidae. The record is from RefSeq and is a predicted model, not a curated record. The transcript is spliced from 2 exons.